GUUUAAUUGCCGUGUUGGCACUUUAAGGAGAAAAAAAGUUGGCAUGUAUUGCGGUUUGGGCACUCGGGCUCAAAAAGGUUCGCCAUCACUGCCCUACAGUAAGAAAACAGUGCAACAAAUGCUAAUGCCGGUCACUGAUUAUGGGGAUGUAGUGUAUGCACCCACACCACAAACCCACCUUAAUAAACUUAAUAAGUUAUAUAAUACAUUCUACUGCUUUGUACUAGAAUGCAAUUACUUUACCCACCACUGU
Molecule: non-coding RNA, 253 nt
Organism: Pelobates cultripes (western spadefoot toad)
Lineage: Eukaryota; Metazoa; Chordata; Amphibia; Anura; Pelobatidae
Source: the annotation of a GenBank genome assembly